GUGUAUAUGUGCAGAUCUGGGAAGAUGCAGGUCGGUGUAUAUGUGCAGAUCUGGGAAGAUGCAGGUCGGUGUAUAUGUGCAGAUCUGGGAAGAUGCAGGUCGGUGUAUAUGUGCAGAUCUGGGAAGAUGCAGGUCGGUGUAUAUGCGCAGAUCUGGGAAGAUGCAGGUCGGUGUAAGUGUAUUCAGAUUGCUGCGGCAGGGUGUGCCCAGAUGCUGAA
This is a long non-coding RNA of Brienomyrus brachyistius, 218 nucleotides long. RefSeq lists it as uncharacterized. The record is from RefSeq and is a predicted model, not a curated record. NCBI's taxonomy places the organism in Eukaryota, Metazoa, Chordata, Actinopteri, Osteoglossiformes, Mormyridae. The transcript has 3 exons.